Molecule: transfer RNA, 76 nt
Filed under: Clostridium acetobutylicum
Lineage: Bacteria; Bacillati; Bacillota; Clostridia; Eubacteriales; Clostridiaceae
Also listed under: 9 other names
Description: tRNA-Ala
Rfam family: tRNA
About the family: Transfer RNA (tRNA) molecules are approximately 80 nucleotides in length. Their secondary structure includes four short double-helical elements and three loops (D, anti-codon, and T loops). Further hydrogen bonds mediate the characteristic L-shaped molecular structure. tRNAs have two regions of fundamental functional importance: the anti-codon, which is responsible for specific mRNA codon recognition, and the 3' end, to which the tRNAs corresponding amino acid is attached (by aminoacyl-tRNA synthetases). tRNAs cope with the degeneracy of the genetic code in two manners: having more than one tRNA (with a specific anti-codon) for a particular amino acid; and 'wobble' base-pairing, i.e. permitting non-standard base-pairing at the 3rd anti-codon position.
Source: RNAcentral
GGGGGAUUAGCUCAGCUGGGAGAGCACCUGCCUUGCACGCAGGGGGUCAAGAGUUCGAAUCUCUUAUUCUCCACCA